Molecule: ribosomal RNA, 572 nt
Filed under: uncultured bacterium
Lineage: Bacteria
Description: bacterial SSU rRNA
Rfam family: Bacterial small subunit ribosomal RNA
Source: RNAcentral
GAGUUUGAUCAUGGCUCAGGACGAACGCUGGCGGCGUGCUUAACACAUGCAAGUCGAACGAUGACGAUGGUGCUUGCACCGUCUGAUUAGUGGCGAACGGGUGAGUAACACGUGAGUAACCUGCCCUCCUCUUCGGGAUAACCGCCGGAAACGGUGGCUAAUACCGGAUAUGAAUGCCUGCCGCAUGGUGGGUGUUGGAAAGAUUUAUCGGUGGGGGAUGGACUCGCGGCCUAUCAGUUUGUUGGUGAGGUAAUGGCUCACCAAGGCGAUGACGGGUAGCCGGCCUGAGAGGGCGACCGGCCACACUGGGACUGAGACACGGCCCAGACUCCUACGGGAGGCAGCAGUGGGGAAUAUUGCACAAUGGGCGAAAGCCUGAUGCAGCGACGCCGCGUGGGGGAUGACGGCCUUCGGGUUGUAAACCUCUUUCAGCAGGGAAGAAGCGAGAGUGACGGUACCUGCAGAAGAAGCGCCGGCUAACUACGUGCCAGCAGCCGCGGUAAUACGUAGGGCGCAAGCGUUGUCCGGAAUUAUUGGGCGUAAAGAGCUUGUAGGUGGCUUGUCGCGUCUGC